GACGAACGCUGGCGGCGUGCUUAACACAUGCAAGUCGAACGGAAAGGCCCUGCUUUUGUGGGGUGCUCGAGUGGCGAACGGGUGAGUAACACGUGAGUAACCUGCCCUUGACUUUGGGAUAACUUCAGGAAACUGGGGCUAAUACCGGAUAGGAGCUCCUGCUGCAUGGUGGGGGUUGGAAAGUUUCGGCGGUUGGGGAUGGACUCGCGGCUUAUCAGCUUGUUGGUGGGGUAGUGGCUUACCAAGGCUUUGACGGGUAGCCGGCCUGAGAGGGUGACCGGCCACAUUGGGACUGAGAUACGGCCCAGACUCCUACGGGAGGCAGCGGUGGGGAAUAUCGCACAAUGGGCGGAAGCCUGAUGCAGCAACGCCGCGUGCGGGAUGACGGCCUUCGGGUUGUAAACCGCUUUCGCCUGUGACGAAGCGUGAGUGACGGUAAUGGGUAAAGAAGCACCGGCUAACUACGUG
RNAcentral lists this ribosomal RNA (468 nucleotides) under uncultured bacterium. RNAcentral's name for it is "partial 16S ribosomal RNA". It matches the Rfam family "Bacterial small subunit ribosomal RNA", at positions 28 to 507 of the family's 1533-position model. The record is from RNAcentral.